This 804-nucleotide ribosomal RNA is filed under the name Leifsonia sp. RNAcentral's name for it is "bacterial SSU rRNA". It matches the Rfam family "Bacterial small subunit ribosomal RNA", at positions 85 to 901 of the family's 1533-position model. Lineage: Bacteria; Bacillati; Actinomycetota; Actinomycetes; Micrococcales; Microbacteriaceae. The record is from RNAcentral.
CAGGUGAUUAGUGGCGAACGGGUGAGUAACACGUGAGUAACCUGCCCUUGACUCUGGGAUAACCUCCGGAAACGGAAGCUAAUACCGGAUACGACGCACGGAGGCAUCUCCUGUGCGUGGAAAGAACUUCGGUCAAGGAUGGACUCGCGGCCUAUCAGGUAGUUGGUGAGGUAACGGCUCACCAAGCCUACGACGGGUAGCCGGCCUGAGAGGGUGACCGGCCACACUGGGACUGAGACACGGCCCAGACUCCUACGGGAGGCAGCAGUGGGGAAUAUUGCACAAUGGGCGCAAGCCUGAUGCAGCAACGCCGCGUGAGGGAUGACGGCCUUCGGGUUGUAAACCUCUUUUAGUAGGGAAGAAGCGAAAGUGACGGUACCUGCAGAAAAAGCACCGGCUAACUACGUGCCAGCAGCCGCGGUAAUACGUAGGGUGCGAGCGUUGUCCGGAAUUAUUGGGCGUAAAGAGCUCGUAGGCGGUCUGUCGCGUCUGCUGUGAAAACCCGAGGCUCAACCUCGGGCCUGCAGUGGGUACGGGCAGACUAGAGUGCGGUAGGGGAGAAUGGAAUUCCUGGUGUAGCGGUGGAAUGCGCAGAUAUCAGGAGGAACACCGAUGGCGAAGGCAGUUCUCUGGGCCGUAACUGACGCUGAGGAGCGAAAGCGUGGGGAGCGAACAGGAUUAGAUACCCUGGUAGUCCACGCCGUAAACGUUGGGCGCUAGAUGUGGGGACCAUUCCACGGUUUCCGUGUCGCAGCUAACGCAUUAAGCGCCCCGCCUGGGGAGUACGGCCGCAAGGCUAAAACU